UUCACUCAUUUUCUUCAUUUCCACCAAGUAUCAAACAUCACUUUUCUCUCAAAUCCUCUCACUCCAAUUUCGAGAUUCAAGGGCCUUCUUCCAAGAUUUCUCCCACUUUUGAUUCUCAAAUCUUCAAGCGAUCCUUCAAGUGUUCUUGAGUUGAACACUUCACUUCUUCAACAUUCACCCACUGAAAUCAUAUAAGGAAUUCAGUGAAACAGGAAAUCAACAGCGUUUUGAGGAUGGGGCAAUAAAUAGUCAAACAGUUCAUUUUGUCAUCAUAAUGUAAUUGAUUUGAAUCAUGUAAACAUAUGCUUUGGUGUAACUUUUUUUUAUUAU
Lactuca sativa (garden lettuce) is the source of this 330-nucleotide long non-coding RNA. RefSeq lists it as uncharacterized. The record is from RefSeq and is a predicted model, not a curated record. Lineage: Eukaryota; Viridiplantae; Streptophyta; Magnoliopsida; Asterales; Asteraceae.